UCAGAACUGUGGUGUCCUUGAGGUGAGA
Molecule: non-coding RNA, 28 nt
Filed under: Rattus norvegicus (Norway rat)
Lineage: Eukaryota; Metazoa; Chordata; Mammalia; Rodentia; Muridae
Source: RNAcentral